UAGAACAAUUUGAUUGAAAGCUCUAACCCUGCGGCCAGAAGGUGGAACUACUGUGCCUUUGCAGAAACUCUACAUGAAGCUUAUCCACGAAUGGUAUGGAAAGAAAAGGAACUUCAGCAGCUUGGAUGGAUUGGGUUCAUGCGUUCAGUCAGCAGCUCAAGAAAGACCCGGAAAUUGCGAAUUAAACCACGUUUUGCACUGACCUCUAACACUUCUGAACAAACAACUGAUAUCUCGUGCGCUGAAGCACAGCGUGAGCUAAGGGCAAUUUCAGAAACUCUCACAGACCCAGAUCGAAUUGAU
RNAcentral lists this long non-coding RNA (303 nucleotides) under Rhipicephalus sanguineus (brown dog tick). RNAcentral describes it as "uncharacterized LOC119393704". Lineage: Eukaryota; Metazoa; Arthropoda; Arachnida; Ixodida; Ixodidae. The record is from RNAcentral.